This 507-nucleotide ribosomal RNA is filed under the name uncultured soil bacterium. RNAcentral describes it as "bacterial SSU rRNA". It matches the Rfam family "Bacterial small subunit ribosomal RNA", at positions 391 to 908 of the family's 1533-position model. The record is from RNAcentral.
GCGACGCCGCGUGGGGGAUGACGGCCUUCGGGUUGUAAACCUCUUUCAGUACCGACGAAGCGCAAGUGACGGUAGGUACAGAAGAAGCACCGGCCAACUACGUGCCAGCAGCCGCGGUAAUACGUAGGGUGCGAGCGUUGUCCGGAAUUACUGGGCGUAAAGAGCUCGUAGGUGGUUUGUCGCGUUGUCCGUGAAAACUCACAGCUUAACUGUGGGCGUGCGGGCGAUACGGGCAGACUGGAGUACUGCAGGGGAGACUGGAAUUCCUGGUGUAGCGGUGGAAUGCGCAGAUAUCAGGAGGAACACCGGUGGCGAAGGCGGGUCUCUGGGCAGUAACUGACGCUGAGGAGCGAAAGCGUGGGGAGCGAACAGGAUUAGAUACCCUGGUAGUCCACGCCGUAAACGGUGGGUACUAGGUGUGGGUUUCCUUCCUUGGGAUCCGUGCCGUAGCUAACGCAUUAAGUACCCCGCCUGGGGAGUACGGCCGCAAGGCUAAAACUCAAAGGA